AGAUUGAAACAAAGAGCUUUUGUUCCCUGAAUGCUUUCCGAAGAGUUCCAGAGGACGGGAAUGGAAAUGGUGGCCUCCCAGUUUCCAGCCCGGAGGAGCGUGCUCAGGCCCCACUCUUCAAUGCGCUCUCAGAGAAUAGCGCCCAAUUACUCCCAUCUCCCUGGCCUCCAGCCGCGCUCCGAGCUCACCAUGCUUGGGACCGG
This is a long non-coding RNA of Mustela erminea (ermine), 203 nucleotides long. RefSeq lists it as uncharacterized. NCBI's taxonomy places the organism in Eukaryota, Metazoa, Chordata, Mammalia, Carnivora, Mustelidae. The transcript has 3 exons. The record is from RefSeq and is a predicted model, not a curated record.